UGGGGAAUAUUGCACAAUGGAGGGAACUCUGAUGCAGCGACGCCGCGUGAACGAAGAAGGCUUUCGAGUCGUAAAGUUCUUUUAUAUGGGAAGAUAAUGACGGUACCAUAAGAAGAAGCCCCGGCUAACUACGUGCCAGCAGCCGCGGUAAUACGUAGGGGGCUAGCGUUGUCCGGAAUCACUGGGCGUAAAGGGUUCGCAGGCGGAAAUGCAAGUCAGGUGUAAAAGGCAGUAGCUUAACUACUGUAAGCAUUUGAAACUGCAUAUCUUGAGAAGAGUAGAGGUAAGUGGAAUUUUUAGUGUAGCGGCGAAAUGCGUAGAUAUUAAAAAGAAUACCGGUGGCGAAGGCGACUUACUGGGCUCAUUCUGACGCUGAGGAACGAAAGCGUGGGUAGCAAACAGG
This 403-nucleotide ribosomal RNA is filed under the name bacterium. Its description in RNAcentral is "partial 16S ribosomal RNA". It matches the Rfam family "Bacterial small subunit ribosomal RNA", at positions 355 to 776 of the family's 1533-position model. The record is from RNAcentral.